GAUGAACGCUGGCGGCGUGCCUAAUACAUGCAAGUCGAGCGAACAGAUGAGGAGCUUGCUCCUCUGACGUUAGCGGCGGACGGGUGAGUAACACGUGGAUAACCUACCUAUAAGACUGGGAUAAAUACGGGAAACCGGAGCUAAUACCGGAUAAUAUAUUGAACCGCAUGGUUCAAUAGUGAAAUACGGUUUUGCUGUCACUUAUAGAUGGAUCCGCGCCGCAUUAGCUAGUUGGUAAGGUAACGGCUUACCAAGGCAACGAUGCGUAGCCGACCUGAGAGGGUGAUCGGCCACACUGGAACUGAGACACGGUCCAGACUCCUACGGGAGGCAGCAGUAGGGAAUCUUCCGCAAUGGGCGAAAGCCUGACGGAGCAACGCCGCGUGAGUGAUGAAGGUCUUCGGAUCGUAAAACUCUGUUAUUAGGGAAGAACAAAUGUGUAAGUAACUAUGCACGUCUUGACGGUACCUAAUCAGAAAGCGACGGCUAACUACGUG
This 497-nucleotide ribosomal RNA is filed under the name uncultured bacterium. RNAcentral's name for it is "partial 16S ribosomal RNA". It matches the Rfam family "Bacterial small subunit ribosomal RNA", at positions 28 to 507 of the family's 1533-position model. The record is from RNAcentral.